UUAGGUGCCUAUAUCGGCGGUGUCCACCUCUUCCCAUUCCGAACAGAGAAGUUAAGCCCGCCAGAGCCGAUGGUACUGCAGUAACAUGUGGGAGAGUAGGUCGGUGCCAAAU
This 112-nucleotide ribosomal RNA is filed under the name Arcticibacter pallidicorallinus. The record is from RNAcentral. RNAcentral also lists the same sequence under 4 other names. Lineage: Bacteria; Pseudomonadati; Bacteroidota; Sphingobacteriia; Sphingobacteriales; Sphingobacteriaceae.